AACGCGAAGAACCUUACCUGGGCUCGAACGGCUUAAGAACAUCUUUGGAAACAGAGACUUCUCGCAAGAGACUUGAGUCGAGGUGCUGCAUGGCUGUCGUCAGCUCGUGUCGUGAGAUGUUGGGUUAAGUCCCGCAACGAGCGCAACCCUUGUCCUGUGUUGCCACUCCGUAAGGAAGCACUCUCAGGAGACCGCCAGCGAUAAGUUGGAGGAAGGUGGGGAUGACGUCAAGUCCUCAUGGCCUUUAUGUCCAGGGCUACACACGUGCUACAAUGGUCGGUACAAACCGUCGCAAAGCCGCGAGGUGGAGCUAAUCGGAAAAAGCCGGCCUCAGUUCGGAUCGCAGUCUGCAACUCGACUGCGUGAAGCUGGAAUCGCUAGUAAUCGUGGAUCAGAAUGCCACGGUGAAUACGUUCCCGGGCCUUGUACACACCGAGUAUA
RNAcentral lists this ribosomal RNA (441 nucleotides) under uncultured bacterium. RNAcentral's name for it is "bacterial SSU rRNA". It matches the Rfam family "Bacterial small subunit ribosomal RNA", at positions 958 to 1398 of the family's 1533-position model. The record is from RNAcentral.